Molecule: ribosomal RNA, 1421 nt
Filed under: Cutibacterium acnes
Lineage: Bacteria; Bacillati; Actinomycetota; Actinomycetes; Propionibacteriales; Propionibacteriaceae
Description: partial 16S ribosomal RNA
Rfam family: Bacterial small subunit ribosomal RNA
Source: RNAcentral
AGUCGAACGGAAAGGCCCUGCUUUUGUGGGGUGCUCGAGUGGCGAACGGGUGAGUAACACGUGAGUAACCUGCCCUUGACUUUGGGAUAACUUCAGGAAACUGGGGCUAAUACCGGAUAGGAGCUCCUGCUGCAUGGUGGGGGUUGGAAAGUUUCGGCGGUUGGGGAUGGACUCGCGGCUUAUCAGCUUGUUGGUGGGGUAGUGGCUUACCAAGGCUUUGACGGGUAGCCGGCCUGAGAGGGUGACCGGCCACAUUGGGACUGAGAUACGGCCCAGACUCCUACGGGAGGCAGCAGUGGGGAAUAUUGCACAAUGGGCGGAAGCCUGAUGCAGCAACGCCGCGUGCGGGAUGACGGCCUUCGGGUUGUAAACCGCUUUCGCCUGUGACGAAGCGUGAGUGACGGUAAUGGGUAAAGAAGCACCGGCUAACUACGUGCCAGCAGCCGCGGUGAUACGUAGGGUGCGAGCGUUGUCCGGAUUUAUUGGGCGUAAAGGGCUCGUAGGUGGUUGAUCGCGUCGGAAGUGUAAUCUUGGGGCUUAACCCUGAGCGUGCUUUCGAUACGGGUUGACUUGAGGAAGGUAGGGGAGAAUGGAAUUCCUGGUGGAGCGGUGGAAUGCGCAGAUAUCAGGAGGAACACCAGUGGCGAAGGCGGUUCUCUGGGCCUUUCCUGACGCUGAGGAGCGAAAGCGUGGGGAGCGAACAGGCUUAGAUACCCUGGUAGUCCACGCUGUAAACGGUGGGUACUAGGUGUGGGGUCCAUUCCACGGGUUCCGUGCCGUAGCUAACGCUUUAAGUACCCCGCCUGGGGAGUACGGCCGCAAGGCUAAAACUCAAAGGAAUUGACGGGGCCCCGCACAAGCGGCGGAGCAUGCGGAUUAAUUCGAUGCAACGCGUAGAACCUUACCUGGGUUUGACAUGGAUCGGGAGUGCUCAGAGAUGGGUGUGCCUCUUUUGGGGUCGGUUCACAGGUGGUGCAUGGCUGUCGUCAGCUCGUGUCGUGAGAUGUUGGGUUAAGUCCCGCAACGAGCGCAACCCUUGUUCACUGUUGCCAGCACGUUAUGGUGGGGACUCAGUGGAGACCGCCGGGGUCAACUCGGAGGAAGGUGGGGAUGACGUCAAGUCAUCAUGCCCCUUAUGUCCAGGGCUUCACGCAUGCUACAAUGGCUGGUACAGAGAGUGGCGAGCCUGUGAGGGUGAGCGAAUCUCGGAAAGCCGGUCUCAGUUCGGAUUGGGGUCUGCAACUCGACCUCAUGAAGUCGGAGUCGCUAGUAAUCGCAGAUCAGCAACGCUGCGGUGAAUACGUUCCCGGGGCUUGUACACACCGCCCGUCAAGUCAUGAAAGUUGGUAACACCCGAAGCCGGUGGCCUAACCGUUGUGGGGGAGCCGUCGAAGGUGGGACUGGUGAUUAGGACUAAGUCG